RNAcentral lists this ribosomal RNA (484 nucleotides) under uncultured bacterium. RNAcentral's name for it is "partial 16S ribosomal RNA". It matches the Rfam family "Bacterial small subunit ribosomal RNA", at positions 30 to 507 of the family's 1533-position model. The record is from RNAcentral.
AUUGAACGCUGGCGGCAGGCCUAACACAUGCAAGUCGAGCGGAUGAAGGGAGCUUGCUCCUGGAUUCAGCGGCGGACGGGUGAGUAAUGCCUAGGAAUCUGCCUGGUAGUGGGGGAUAACGUCCGUAAACGGGCGCUAAUACCGCAUACGUCCUGAGGGGGAAAGUGGGGGAUCUUCGGACCUCACGCUAUCAGAUGAGCCUAGGUCGGAUUAGCUAGUUGGUGGGGUAAAGGCCUACCAAGGCGACGAUCCGUAACUGGUCUGAGAGGAUGAUCAGUCACACUGGAACUGAGACACGGUCCAGACUCCUACGGGAGGCAGCAGUGGGGAAUAUUGGACAAUGGGCGAAAGCCUGAUCCAGCCAUGCCGCGUGUGUGAAGAAGGUCUUCGGAUUGUAAAGCACUUUAAGUCGGGAGGAAGGGCAGUAAGUUAAUACCUUGCUGUUUUGACGUUACCAACAGAAUAAGCACCGGCUAACUUCGUG